AGUGAAAAGAAGAAACCAUCCGUUUCUCACCUUACUCUAAUUAGGGUUGUAGGGUUAAUAAUUAUGAUAUAUUACUAAUUUGUGUAUAUAUAUUGCGGGUGGAGAAUUCCAUCCGCAUUAUUUGUUAUAU
Clostridium cylindrosporum DSM 605 is the source of this 130-nucleotide non-coding RNA. The record is from Rfam. Lineage: Bacteria; Bacillati; Bacillota; Clostridia; Eubacteriales; Clostridiaceae.